CUGGGGAUAUAGCUCAGUUGGUAGAAUGCUUGCCUUGCAUGCAGAAGGCCCUGGGUUCAAUCCCCAGCACCAGA
This 74-nucleotide transfer RNA is filed under the name Marmota monax (woodchuck). RNAcentral's name for it is "tRNA.Ala". It matches the Rfam family "tRNA". Rfam says of the family: Transfer RNA (tRNA) molecules are approximately 80 nucleotides in length. Their secondary structure includes four short double-helical elements and three loops (D, anti-codon, and T loops). The record is from RNAcentral. Lineage: Eukaryota; Metazoa; Chordata; Mammalia; Rodentia; Sciuridae.